AAAAAAAAAACAUGGAAUGCUACAGAGAAGAUUAGCAUGGCCCCUGUGCAAGGAUAACUCACAAAUUCGUGAAGUUCCAUAAAAGAGA
RNAcentral lists this small nuclear RNA (88 nucleotides) under Mus musculus (house mouse). Lineage: Eukaryota; Metazoa; Chordata; Mammalia; Rodentia; Muridae. The record is from RNAcentral.